CCUACGGGAGGCUGCAGUGGGGAAUUUUGGACAAUGGGGGCAACCCUGAUCCAGCGACGCCGCGUGGAGGACGAAGGUCUUCGGAUUGUAAACUCCUUUUGAAGGGGAUGAAUGCCCUGGUGAAGAGCCAGGGGUGACAGUACUCUUUGAAUAAGCCACGGCUAACUACGUGCCAGCAGCCGCGGUAAUACGUAGGUGGCAAGCGUUACUCGGAAUCACUAGGCGUAAAGCGCAGGUAGGCGGUUUGAUAAGUCUCUUGUGAAAGCUCCCGGCUUAACUGGGAGAGGUCAAGGGAAACUGUCAGGCUAGAGUGUGGCAGAGGAAACUGGAAUUCCCGGUGUAGCGGUGAAAUGCGUAGAUAUCGGGAGGAAUACCUAUGGCGAAAGCAGGUUUCUGGGCCGUCACUGACGCUGAGCUGCGAAAGCUAGGGGAGCAAACAG
RNAcentral lists this ribosomal RNA (440 nucleotides) under uncultured bacterium. Its description in RNAcentral is "bacterial SSU rRNA". It matches the Rfam family "Bacterial small subunit ribosomal RNA", at positions 338 to 775 of the family's 1533-position model. The record is from RNAcentral.